GAAGUUUAUACUUAAAAGCCGUCUACGAUUGUGAAAAAUGAGUUCACAAAUUUUUCUUCAUCUUUAAUUUUCAUUGCGCAAAUAUAAAAGCGAAUAAUUCGGCACGGAAAAUACGUUCCGAACCGUAUCACAUCACUUAUGUAAACAAUAUUCUACAAGAAUGACUCUUUUGAACUCUAAUUAAAACCAAAUUACAAAAA
RNAcentral lists this small RNA (200 nucleotides) under Arabidopsis thaliana (thale cress). RNAcentral describes it as "ATSL080220". Lineage: Eukaryota; Viridiplantae; Streptophyta; Magnoliopsida; Brassicales; Brassicaceae. The record is from RNAcentral.